AUGGCGGAGUCGACGACGAGCAUCGGCGGGUACAUGGCGUCGGGGUACCGGAGGGUGGCUGGCGUGCAGCUCUACAUCAACCACCUCAAGCCCGCCCGCCUCGGCGACCGCAUCGAGGCCAAGGCGAACCCCAUCCGGUACCUCGACCCCGACGCGUACUUGGACAAGCUGCUGGACGCGGUGCAUUGGAUCCGGCAGGCGGUGGGGCUCGCCUGCGGCCUGCUCUGGGGCGCCGUCCCCCUCGUCGGCGCCUUCUGGAUCGCCCUGACAGUCCCUCCCUCCCUCCAUCCUCAAAGCCCCAACCUUCUUCUUUCCCUUCAGACAUAG
RNAcentral lists this ribosomal RNA (327 nucleotides) under Triticum aestivum (bread wheat). Its description in RNAcentral is "partial small subunit ribosomal RNA". Lineage: Eukaryota; Viridiplantae; Streptophyta; Magnoliopsida; Poales; Poaceae. The record is from RNAcentral.